This 468-nucleotide ribosomal RNA is filed under the name uncultured bacterium. RNAcentral's name for it is "partial 16S ribosomal RNA". It matches the Rfam family "Bacterial small subunit ribosomal RNA", at positions 28 to 507 of the family's 1533-position model. The record is from RNAcentral.
GACGAACGCUGGCGGCGUGCUUAACACAUGCAAGUCGAACGGAAAGGCCCUGCUUUUGUGGGGUGCUCGAGUGGCGAACGGGUGAGUAACACGUGAGUAACCUGCCCUUGACUUUGGGAUAACUUCAGGAAACUGGGGCUAAUACCGGAUAGGAGCUCCUGCUGCAUGGUGGGGGUUGGAAAGUUUCGGCGGUUGGGGAUGGACUCGCGGCUUAUCAGCUUGUUGGUGGGGUAGUGGCUUACCAAGGCUUUGACGGGUAGCCGGCCUGAGAGGGUGACCGGCCAAAAUGGGAAUGAGAUUAGGGCCAAAAUCCUAAGGGAGGGAGGAGGUGGGAAAAAUUGCAAAAGGGCGGAAACCCUGAGGAGGAAAGGCGCGUGGGGGAUGAAGGCCUUCGGGUUGGAAAACGGCUUUGCCUGUGAAGAAGGGGGGGGGAAGGGAAAGGGUAAAGGAAGAACGGCUAAAUAAGUU